AUGGAGUGCUCAUCCGCGCCAACACCUACUUGGGAUUUGGUGUGGAGUCUGAGUUGCCCAUCAAAGAUUAAAAUUCUUGUCUAGAGAGUACUUCUUAGUGCUAUUCCAUGCCAUUCCAUUCUUGCUGAUAGACAUAUCAAGAUCAAGCCACACUGCCCAGUAUGCAAUCAAGGACCGGAGAGCAUCCGCCACCUUCUUUUUGAAUGCCCUGUUGCGGUGCAGGUAUGGAAACUCCUGGGAGUGCUAGAUGUGAUAAAGAAAGGACUACAGAUUAGUGUGUCCGGCGAGGUAGUGUUGGAAUUUCUUCUCAGCUUACCAGACAAUCAUGUCCAUGUGCUAGGUCUGCCAAAACUGAGAGAAACUGUUGCUACAUGCUGUUGGUUUUUGUGGUGGGAAAGGAGGAAGAUUACACAUGGAGAUGUUCCACAAUCUGCGGCACAGAUCAACCUUGCUGUUCGAGCCUUGGCGGCGAACUUUACUGCUGCGUGUUCCUCAACGCCGAAAAUUGGCGUGGGUGGCUGGACAAGACCAAGGACGGAUUACAUCAAACUAAACGUGGAUGCGGGAUUUGAUCCCGAUUCACUUGAAGGUUCUGUUGGUGCUGUCAUCAGAGACCAUAAUGGUAAAUUCAUAGCUGUCGCGAAUGAAAAACUGGAAAUAUGCUAUGAUGCUUUCACUGCAGAGGCCAUUGCAGUUAGGUUUGGACUCAACCUCGUCCGUACAGUUGGGUGCAGCAAAAUUCAAGUGAAUUCAGACAGCGUGGAGGUUAUUUCAGCACUCAAAGAGGGAUACUCAUCUUCGGUGGCCAGAGCGAUCUUUGAUGAUUGUUUUUCCAUUUCUUUAUAUUUCAAUAAUAUUGUUUUUGAACAUUGUUAUAGAGAGAACAAUAAAGUAGCUCACGAAUUAGCUAGACUAGCUAGAUUCACUCCUCCUGAUGUAUGGAUGGAAGCAGCCCCGAUGGCUGUUCUUCCUCUUCUGGUUUCUGAUGCUACAAUUGUAGUCAAUUAA
RNAcentral lists this ribosomal RNA (1008 nucleotides) under Triticum aestivum (bread wheat). RNAcentral describes it as "partial small subunit ribosomal RNA". Lineage: Eukaryota; Viridiplantae; Streptophyta; Magnoliopsida; Poales; Poaceae. The record is from RNAcentral.